UGCCAGCAGCCGCGGUAAUACGGAGGGGGCUAGCGUUGUUCGGAAUUACUGGGCGUAAAGCGCACGUAGGCGGUUUAUCUAGUUAGGCGUGAAAGGCCGGGGCUCAACCUCGGAACUGCGCUUAAUACUGGUAGACUUGAGGACGAGAGAGGGUAGUGGAAUUCCCAGUGUAGAGGUGAAAUUCGUAGAUAUUGGGAAGAACACCAGUGGCGAAGGCGACUGCCUGGCUCGUAACUGACGCUGAGGUGCGAAAGCGUGGGGAGCAAACAGGAUUAGAUA
Molecule: ribosomal RNA, 279 nt
Filed under: uncultured bacterium
Lineage: Bacteria
Description: partial 16S ribosomal RNA
Rfam family: Bacterial small subunit ribosomal RNA
Source: RNAcentral